Molecule: ribosomal RNA, 909 nt
Filed under: uncultured bacterium
Lineage: Bacteria
Description: bacterial SSU rRNA
Rfam family: Bacterial small subunit ribosomal RNA
Source: RNAcentral
ACGCUGGCGGCAGGCUUAACACAUGCAAGUCGAACGGUAACAGGGAUUAGCUUGCUAAUUUGCUGACGAGUGGCGGACGGGUGAGUAAUGCUUGGGAAUCUGGCUUAUGGAGGGGGAUAACUACGGGAAACUGUAGCUAAUACCGCGUAAUAUCGGAAGAUUAAAGGGUGGGACUUUCGAGCCACCUGCCAUAAGAUGAGCCCAAGUGGGAUUAGGUAGUUGGUUAGGUAAAGGCUGACCAAGCCGACGAUCUCUAGCUGGUCUGAGAGGAUGACCAGCCACACUGGAACUGAGACACGGUCCAGACUCCUACGGGAGGCAGCAGUGGGGAAUAUUGCACAAUGGGGGGAACCCUGAUGCAGCCAUGCCGCGUGAAUGAAGAAGGCCUUCGGGUUGUAAAGUUCUUUCGGUGACGAGGAAGGUUGAUAGGUUAAUAGCCUAUCAAAUCGACGUUAAUCACAGAAGAAGCACCGGCUAACUCCGUGCCAGCAGCCGCGGUAAUACGGGGGGUGCGAGCGUUAAUCGGAAUAACUGGGCGUAAAGGGCACGCAGGCGGUGACUUAAGUGAGAUGUGAAAGCCCCGAGCUUAACUUGGGAAUUGCAUUUCAUACUGGGUCGCUAGAGUACUUUAGGGAGGGGUAGAAUUCCACGUGUAGCGGUGAAAUGCGUAGAGAUGUGGAGGAAUACCGAAGGCGAAGGCAGCCCCUUGGGAAUGUACUGACGCUCAUGUGCGAAAGCGUGGGGAGCAAACAGGAUUAGAUACCCUGGUAGUCCACGCUGUAAACGAUGUCGAUUUGGGGAUUGGGCUUUGAGCUUGGUGCCCGUAGCUAACGUGAUAAAUCGACCGCCUGGGGAGUACGGCCGCAAGGUUAAAACUCAAAUGAAUUGACGGGGGCCCGCACAAGCGGU